GCCCAGGUGGCGGAAUUGGUAGACGCGCUGGCUUCAGGUGCCAGUGGCCGNNAGGNCGUGGAAGUUCGAGUCUUCUCCUGGGCACCA
RNAcentral lists this transfer RNA (87 nucleotides) under Alphaproteobacteria bacterium. RNAcentral's name for it is "tRNA-Leu". It matches the Rfam family "tRNA". From Rfam's summary of the family: Transfer RNA (tRNA) molecules are approximately 80 nucleotides in length. Their secondary structure includes four short double-helical elements and three loops (D, anti-codon, and T loops). Lineage: Bacteria; Pseudomonadati; Pseudomonadota; Alphaproteobacteria. The record is from RNAcentral.